GAAGCGUCUGGAAAGGCGCGCGAUACAGGGUGACAGCCCCGUACACAAAAGCGCAUGUGCUGUGAGCUCGAUGAGUAGGGCGGGACACGUGGUAUCCUGUCUGAAUAUGGGGGGACCAUCCUCCAAGGCUAAAUACUCCUGACUGACCGAUAGUGAACCAGUACCGUGAGGGAAAGGCGAAAAGAACCCCGGCGAGGGGAGUGAAAAAGAACCUGAAACCGUGUACGUACAAGCAGUGGGAGCACAGGUUUACCUGUGUGACUGCGUACCUUUUGUAUAAUGGGUCAGCGACUUAUAUUCUGUAGCAAGGUUAACCGUAUAGGGGAGCCGAAGGGAAACCGAGUCUUAACCGGGCGUUAAGUUGCAGGGUAUAGACCCGAAACCCGGUGAUCUAGCCAUGGGCAGGUUGAAGGUUGGGUAACACUAACUGGAGGACCGAACCGACUAAUGUUGAAAAAUUAGCGGAUGACCUGUGGCUGGGGGUGAAAGGCCAAUCAAACCGGGAGAUAGCUGGUUCUCCCCGAAAGCUAUUUAGGUAGCGCCUCGUGAAUUCAUCUCCGGGGGUAGAGCACUGUUUCGGCUAGGGGGCCAUCCCGGCUUACCAACCCGAUGCAAACUGCGAAUACCGGAGAAUGUUAUCACGGGAGACACACGGCGGGUGCUAACGUCCGUCGUGAAGAGGGAAACAACCCAGACCGCCAGCUAAGGUCCCAAAGUCAUGGUUAAGUGGGAAACGAUGUGGGAAGGCCCAGACAGCCAGGAUGUUGGCUUAGAAGCAGCCAUCAUUUAAAGAAAGCGUAAUAGCUCACUGGUCGAGUCGGCCUGCGCGGAAGAUGUAACGGGGCUAAACCAUGCACCGAAGCUGCGGCAGCGACGCUGAUGCGUUGUUGGGUAGGGGAGCGUUCUGUAAGCCUGCGAAGGUGGCCUGUGAGGGUUGCUGGAGGUAUCAGAAGUGCGAAUGCUGACAUAAGUAACGAUAAAGCGGGUGAAAAGCCCGCUCGCCGGAAGACCAAGGGUUCCUGUCCAACGUUAAUCGGGGCAGGGUGAGUCGACCCCUAAGGCGAGGCCGAAAGGCGUAGUCGAUGGGAAACGGGUUAAUAUUCCCGUACUUGGUGUUACUGCGAAGGGGGGACGGAGAAGGCUAUGUUGGCCGGGCGACGGUUGUCCCGGUUUAAGCGUGUAGGUGUGUGUUCCAGGUAAAUCCGGUUCACUUUAACACUGAGGCGUGACGACGAGGCACUACGGUGCUGAAGCAACAAAUGCCCUGCUUCCAGGAAAAGCCUCUAAGCAUCAGGUAACAUCAAAUCGUACCCCAAACCGACACAGGUGGUCAGGUAGAGAAUACCAAGGCGCUUGAGAGAACUCGGGUGAAGGAACUAGGCAAAAUGGUGCCGUAACUUCGGGAGAAGGCACGCUGACACGUAGGUGAAGUGAUUUACUCAUGGAGCUGAAGUCAGUCGAAGAUACCAGCUGGCUGCAACUGUUUAUUAAAAACACAGCACUGUGCAAACACGAAAGUGGACGUAUACGGUGUGACGCCUGCCCGGUGCCGGAAGGUUAAUUGAUGGGGUCAGCGCAAGCGAAGCUCCUGAUCGAAGCCCCGGUAAACGGCGGCCGUAACUAUAACGGUCCUAAGGUAGCGAAAUUCCUUGUCGGGUAAGUUCCGACCUGCACGAAUGGCGUAAUGAUGGCCAGGCUGUCUCCACCCGAGACUCAGUGAAAUUGAACUCGCUGUGAAGAUGCAGUGUACCCGCGGCAAGACGGAAAGACCCCGUGAACCUUUACUAUAGCUUGACACUGAACAUUGAGCCUUG
Molecule: ribosomal RNA, 1814 nt
Filed under: Salmonella enterica
Lineage: Bacteria; Pseudomonadati; Pseudomonadota; Gammaproteobacteria; Enterobacterales; Enterobacteriaceae
Description: partial 23S ribosomal RNA
Rfam family: Bacterial large subunit ribosomal RNA
Source: RNAcentral